RNAcentral lists this ribosomal RNA (418 nucleotides) under uncultured bacterium. RNAcentral describes it as "bacterial SSU rRNA". It matches the Rfam family "Bacterial small subunit ribosomal RNA", at positions 385 to 793 of the family's 1533-position model. The record is from RNAcentral.
GAUGCAGCCAUGCCGCGUGUAUGGAAGAAGGCCUUCGGGUUGUAAAGUACUUUCAGCAGUGAGGAAGGUGGGUAUUGUUAAUAGCAUACUCAUUUCGACGUUAGCUGCAGAAGAAGCACCGGCUAACUCCGUGCCAGCAGCCGCGGUAAUACGGAGGGUGCGAGCGUUAAUCGGAAUUACUGGGCGUAAAGCGCAUGCAGGUGGUUGUUAAGUCAGAUGUGAAAGCCCGGGGCUCAACCUCGGAAUUGCAUUUGAAACUGGCAAACUAGAGUACUGUAGAGGGGGUAGAAUUUCAGGUGUAGCGGUGAAAUGCGUAGAGAUCUGAAGGAAUACCGGUGGCGAAGGCGGCCCCCUGGACAGAUACUGACACUCAGAUCGCGAAAGCGUGGGGAGCAAACAGGAUUAGAUACCCUGGUAG